Manis pentadactyla (Chinese pangolin) is the source of this 3292-nucleotide long non-coding RNA. RefSeq lists it as uncharacterized. The record is from RefSeq and is a predicted model, not a curated record. The transcript has 3 exons. Lineage: Eukaryota; Metazoa; Chordata; Mammalia; Pholidota; Manidae.
UAUUGAAGAUGUGUAAGCUCUUAGGGAAAAUAGAGUAGUUAAAAUUAGUGAACAGAGUGAUAUUAACAGUCUCUAAAAGAGAGUCCAAAAAUGCCCAACCAAGAGCAUCAUCUGAAAAAUUAAAUCUUCAGCUUUAAAGCCAUGACCUUAAUCUUCCAGUUGCUCUCUGGAAACACUCUACAACUGCUGGAAGUUCUUUAUAGAGUUCACAGAGAGAGCCUGAUAAUUUGUCAUUCAGCUAUAUUUCUCUUGGCCUUUGGCAAGACUGGAUCUGGUGUGCCACAGCUCUCCGGCGAGGGUGCUGCACCUCUGAGCUCGGAAGAGGGGUCCUGCAGGGCUGGGAGCCAGACUUCUGAUGCCAGUCUAUGGUGCCGACAUCAGUGUGGCUGGCGCAGUGAGUGCUGGCGGAACCAAAAGUGGGGUUCACUUGCUGCUAUGGGAAGGAACUGCCUCUGCAGGGGGAGGAUGUGUUGCUGAGCUGAUGUUCCCAGGAUACUAAGGCAGGAAAGAAUCCCAGGGGAAGCAUACAGGGAACACACGGAAAGGAGAAUGUCUCCUUUUCUGUCUCCACUUCCCAGUCUUCCUCUGCCACCCUGUGGGGAGGGAUUGCCACUCCAGCGUGAAGCCUUGCUGACGCGAUGCCCACAGGAACCAUAGCAGUUGGAAGCCCAACAGCAACCAGCAGAGAACAGGAAAGAGCAAGCCUCUUCCUCCUCCUCCAACUUAGCAGGCUCCUCUGGCUCCCCUCGUUGUCAAAGCUUGACGGGCAACCGUUUGUAUACAACAAAAGUGGUUUGCAGAGCCCUAUUGCAAAGAGGAGGAGAAAGUAGGUUUGGAGCUGAGAGACAGUAACUUAACAAAUAGUGUAAUUAUUUUCCCCACAAGGCUCUGUUCUGCUUUCCCUGACUGUAUUGAAAUGAUGAUGGGUAUUGAGAAGUGCACAGGCUUUCUCAACUGUGCUUGGACCAUUAGACUAUCCAGGAAUGAAGAAGAGAAAGGGAAAGGAAAAGAAAGGUUUUGAGGACAGCGCUGUAGAUAAUGCGCUAGGCAUGACUUCACUUUCAACUUGAGACACUGUCAUUGGUUGGUAAACAUGUUCUCAGUAUGUGGGAAUGGGAGACAAUGAAAAAAAAGUGAGUAGAAAAAGGGGCAAUCAUUUCACAGUGAGGCUGUCCCCACCUCCCACACAUCAUACAGUUGCUCUAUACUGUUUAUCCUGUUCCUCACAUCCUCUGUAGUGCCCUGAGUAGAGCAUGAUAUAUAAAAUGUGUAGAAUAAACUGGGCACUUUCAAAUAAAAGCAACGGCGAGCCUAUGCUUACAAUUCUCCAUGCAUGGAAGCCUCAGUGUGGUUUCUGUUUGCUUUACUGGCUGCAUGCUAGGCAGUUGGCUGGCAUCUGGCACGUCCGUUGGUGAAGCACACAAGCGGCUCUACUUCCUUAUUUCCCACAGGCAGUAUUUAUAAUGGCAAGACUGUGUGUCCAGAAUUCAAGCUAAGAAAAUAGGGGGUAAAAAUCAUGAGCUGAGUGCUUCAGCCUUAGACUUUAUUGAGAACCGAAGGUACGACGCACAGACCUUAGGAUGCCUCUAUCAGCCCAGCCAUGUUGAGCAACGUCACAUGGCAAGGACUGCCGGUAACUUUCAGAAGUUGAGGGUUAGCAUCUGACCGAGCGUCAGCAAACACCGACGCUCUUAGUUCAACCAUAAGGAACGGAAGGCCGCCCCUUCCAUAGUCUCCACGUGGGAACACAGCCCUGGCUGAUACUUGGCAGUCAUAGAAACCGUAAGGCAGGGAAGCCACGUUCAAUCCACAGAAACAGAUUUAUCUCUUUUGUUAUAAGGAUGGCUCCAACCACAACUGAAAGAUGGCUAUCAGCAAAAAAAGGGGACUUUUCUUCAUACUCACUUAAGUGGAGGACAAAGAAUGGUAUCCUAUCUCUCUUAUUUAAGGAAAAAAAUAGAAUUUUCUCAGAAAAGUUUGGCAUUCCAGCCCUGCAGAAGCCCAUUCCAGGAGAAUCACUGAUAGGAGGGAUGGUGUUUUCUUUAAACAAUCCAAUUCUGCCCUUGAUUUGAAGUCAAUUAUAAAAACUAAUUAGGGGAGAGGUAAGUCAACUACAGUGUUCACUACACUUCAUUUUUCAAUUUUAAAUGAAGAAGAUGGAUUAAAUGAUUGGUAAAAUCCUAUCUAUGUCCACUAUUCUAUCAGAUCAGACAUUCUUAACCAUUUACGACACCUCAGAAUAAUUAAGAAAAAGGCUACAUGUAAUUAGUAAGACACCAAAGAGUUGUGUAUAGUUGUACAUGUGUAACAUAUAUUUGUGCUUUUGGUAGCACAUUAUGUAACAGUAACUACUGAAAACUUUGAAGUAGUGGUAAGAGUAAACAAUAGUUUAAGAUCUCUAUUGUGAUCUCAGACAUUGCUAAUUUUUGCCUACAUUAAUAAUUGCAGAAAAUUACAAAUUUCAGUUAGCAUUUAGUGGAAAUAAAGACUAACAACCUCCUACUAUCCAUGGACCUCUUGGUACUUCAUGGACCCCAAAGUGAGAACCCCUGUCAUAGAGCAUUCUUUUAGGCUAUCAAGAAAAAGUCCUAUCAUGGAGGGUCAGUUGUAAAUCUCUUAACAGCAUUUACCACAAUUUUCCCAUGAUGUAAUGAUAGCAGUAUGUGGUACAGUUUCAUAACUAGAGUGUGAGCCCCUUAAAAGAGAGAGCCAUAUCAUCUACAUUUUUUACUUAUUUACAGCAUUAUUCUUAAAACUGCUUCUGUAGUAAAAUCACUUCGGGAGAUUUAAAAAAUUCAGAUGUUCCUCACCUACCUCUGAAUCAGAAUAUCUGCAAAGGGACCUAGGAAUCUGUGUUUAUGAAAGCUUCCAGGAUUAUUCUGAUGCACUUAGCUUUCACCAAGUUAAUGAUUCACAUUAGGGAAGCAGCAUCAUUUAACACCUGGCAUAAUGCUUUGCACAAAUUACAUCUUCAGUAAAUGGGUUAGGGAUUUGAAUGAGGGAAACUAGGCCAUAUAAAAGGAAUUCACAUUUAGAAACACUACUAAAAAACCCUCUCAUUCAAAUGUGAUAUCCACAUAUAAAUCAAGUAUAAAAAUCAAAUGAGUAUUCAUAUUUGAACUGACUGUUUAUAGUUCAUAAUGCAUGAGCAAAACCAAAGGUUUCUGUGAUGGCUGCCCUUGUACUGUUCACCAUGUAAGAACUUAUUCACUAUGUAAGAAUUUGUUCUCCAUGUAAGAACUUGUUUGUUAUGCCUCAGAAGAUUGGAGACUGACGAAAAUUAGACGGGGCA